CUUCACCGAGCCGAGCCACAGGGGCCGGCCGGGGGUGCGUUCCUUGCCGUAGGUGGCGAUGAGGGCCUGGGCCUC
Molecule: antisense RNA, 75 nt
Filed under: Streptomyces sp. DI166
Lineage: Bacteria; Bacillati; Actinomycetota; Actinomycetes; Kitasatosporales; Streptomycetaceae
Description: ASpks TB sRNA
Rfam family: ASpks TB sRNA
Source: Rfam by way of RNAcentral